UUCAGCAGUCAUACCACCUGCAGUUCAGCCCAGGUAAUCCAUCUGAAGCUAAGCAGGGUUGGGCCUGACCAGCACUUGGAUGGGAGACCAACUAGGAAAGCAGUGUUGUUGCUGGAA
Molecule: ribosomal RNA, 117 nt
Filed under: Paramormyrops kingsleyae
Lineage: Eukaryota; Metazoa; Chordata; Actinopteri; Osteoglossiformes; Mormyridae
Source: RNAcentral